This 481-nucleotide ribosomal RNA is filed under the name Streptomyces sp. B349. Its description in RNAcentral is "bacterial SSU rRNA". It matches the Rfam family "Bacterial small subunit ribosomal RNA", at positions 163 to 657 of the family's 1533-position model. Lineage: Bacteria; Bacillati; Actinomycetota; Actinomycetes; Kitasatosporales; Streptomycetaceae. The record is from RNAcentral.
CUAAUACCGGAUACUGACCCGCUUGGGCAUCCAAGCGGUUCGAAAGCUCCGGCGGUGCAGGAUGAGCCCGCGGCCUAUCAGCUUGUUGGUGAGGUAAUGGCUCACCAAGGCGACGACGGGUAGCCGGCCUGAGAGGGCGACCGGCCACACUGGGACUGAGACACGGCCCAGACUCCUACGGGAGGCAGCAGUGGGGAAUAUUGCACAAUGGGCGAAAGCCUGAUGCAGCGACGCCGCGUGAGGGAUGACGGCCUUCGGGUUGUAAACCUCUUUCAGCAGGGAAGAAGCGAAAGUGACGGUACCUGCAGAAGAAGCGCCGGCUAACUACGUGCCAGCAGCCGCGGUAAUACGUAGGGCGCGAGCGUUGUCCGGAAUUAUUGGGCGUAAAGAGCUCGUAGGCGGCUUGUCACGUCGGUUGUGAAAGCCCGGGGCUUAACCCCGGGUCUGCAGUCGAUACGGGCAGGCUAGAGUUCGGUAGGGG